GGGGGUAUAGCUCAGUGGUAGAGCGCUCCCUUAGCAUGGGAGAGGGCUGGGGUUCAUUUCCCCAUACCUCCA
This is a non-coding RNA of Heligmosomoides polygyrus, 72 nucleotides long. The record is from Rfam. NCBI's taxonomy places the organism in Eukaryota, Metazoa, Nematoda, Chromadorea, Rhabditida, Heligmosomidae.